Molecule: ribosomal RNA, 273 nt
Filed under: uncultured Acinetobacter sp.
Lineage: Bacteria; Pseudomonadati; Pseudomonadota; Gammaproteobacteria; Moraxellales; Moraxellaceae
Description: partial 16S ribosomal RNA
Rfam family: Bacterial small subunit ribosomal RNA
Source: RNAcentral
UACAGAGGGUGCGAGCGUUAAUCGGAUUUACUGGGCGUAAAGCGUGCGUAGGCGGCUAAUUGAGUCGGAUGUGAAAUCCCCGAGCUUAUCUUGGGAAUUGCAUUCGAUACUGGUUAGCUAGAGUGUGGGAGAGGAUGGUAGAAUUCCAGGUGUAGCGGUGAAAUGCGUAGAGAUCUGGAGGAAUACCGAUGGCGAAGGCAGCCAUCUGGCCUAACACUGACGCUGAGGUACGAAAGCAUGGGGAGCAAACAGGAUUAGAAACCCGUGUAGUCC